Molecule: long non-coding RNA, 287 nt
Filed under: Lepidothrix coronata (blue-crowned manakin)
Lineage: Eukaryota; Metazoa; Chordata; Aves; Passeriformes; Pipridae
Description: lncRNA (ENSLCOG00000011293.1)
Source: RNAcentral
GCAAUAUCGAUAUGGAACAGCCUUUUGGCACCUUUCCCUGCCCCUGCCCCCCCCCCCCAGCCUUGAUCCCUUUUGCGGUAGUUCCUGCUGUUAAAAUGGGCUUUACAGAGCAAGAGGAGCCAACUUUAGGAGAAGGCAUAUUGUGAUACCCUCACUGAUUUCUUUUACAAUGCAUUCUGUUCAGGCCAGAAUCUGCUUAACUGUCCAGGUAAGCAAAUACACAUAGUCACAUUUUUUUUAAUAAGAAUGUUUUCCAGACAUUUGACAACUAAUUCUGAGAGAUUGGU